ACAGCAGCAGCCGCGGUAAUACAGAGGGUGCGAGCGUUAAUCGGAUUUACUGGGCGUAAAGCGUGCGUAGGCGGCUUCUUAAGUCGGAUGUGAAAUCCCUGAGCUUAACUUAGGAAUUGCAUUCGAUACUGGGAAGCUAGAGUAUGGGAGAGGAUGGUAGAAUUCCAGGUGUAGCGGUGAAAUGCGUAGAGAUAUGGAGGAAUACCGAUGGCGAAGGCAGCCAUCUGGCCUAAUACUGACGCUGAGGUACGAAAGCAUGGGGAGCAAACAGGAUUAGAUACCCCAGUAGUCCCUGUCUCUUAUAC
RNAcentral lists this ribosomal RNA (305 nucleotides) under uncultured bacterium. RNAcentral's name for it is "partial 16S ribosomal RNA". It matches the Rfam family "Bacterial small subunit ribosomal RNA", at positions 505 to 807 of the family's 1533-position model. The record is from RNAcentral.